GACGAACGCUGGCGGCGUGCUUAACACAUGCAAGUCGAACGGAAAGGCCCCCAUCUUGGUGGGGGUGCUCGAGUGGCGAACGGGUGAGUAACACGUGGGUGAUCUGCCCUGUACUUCGGGAUAAGCUUGGGAAACUGGGUCUAAUACCGGAUAGGACCAUGGUUUAGUGUCUCAUGGUGGAAAGAUUAUUGUUUUGGUGCAGGAUGAGCUCGCGGCCUAUCAGCUUGUUGGUGGGGUAAUGGCCUACCAAGGCGUCGACGGGUAGCCGGCCUGAGAGGGUGGACGGCCACAUUGGGACUGAGAUACGGCCCAGACUCCUACGGGAGGCAGCAGUGGGGAAUAUUGCACAAUGGGCGCAAGCCUGAUGCAGCGACGCCGCGUGGGGGAUGACGGCCUUCGGGUUGUAAACUCCUUUCGUUAGGGACGAAGCCGCACUUUUUUUGGGUGUGGUGACGGUACCUUUGUGAAGAAGCACCGGCUAACUACGUG
This 489-nucleotide ribosomal RNA is filed under the name uncultured bacterium. RNAcentral describes it as "partial 16S ribosomal RNA". It matches the Rfam family "Bacterial small subunit ribosomal RNA", at positions 28 to 507 of the family's 1533-position model. The record is from RNAcentral.